This 19-nucleotide small nuclear RNA is filed under the name Arabidopsis thaliana (thale cress). RNAcentral describes it as "snRNA_08681". The record is from RNAcentral. Lineage: Eukaryota; Viridiplantae; Streptophyta; Magnoliopsida; Brassicales; Brassicaceae.
ACGUGAGCUGGGUUUAGAC